AACGAACGCUGGCUGCAUGCCUAACACAUGCAAGUCGAACGAAGGCUUCGGCCUUAGUGGCGCACGGGUGAGUAACGCGUGGGAAACUGCCUAUUGGUGGGGACUAACGACGGGAAACUGUCGCUAAUACCGCAUAAGCCCUUCGGGGGAGGGUUUUAGCGUCGAUAAAUGUGCCCGCGUCCGAUUAGCUAGUUGGUGAGGGAAUGGCUCACCAAGGCGGCGAUCGGUAGCUGGUAUGGGAGGAUGAUCGGCCACACUGGGACUGAGACACGGCCCAGACUCCUACGGGAGGCAGCAGUGGGGAAUAUUGGACAAUGGGCGAAAGCCUGAUCCAGCAAUGCCGCGUGAGUGAUGAAGGCCUUAGGGUUGUAAAGCUCUUUCGGGUGGGACGAUGAUGACGGUACCACCAGAAGAAGCCCCGGCUAACUUCGUGCCAGCCGCCGCGGUAA
RNAcentral lists this ribosomal RNA (449 nucleotides) under uncultured bacterium. RNAcentral's name for it is "partial 16S ribosomal RNA". It matches the Rfam family "Bacterial small subunit ribosomal RNA", at positions 29 to 523 of the family's 1533-position model. The record is from RNAcentral.